Long non-coding RNA from Carassius gibelio (silver crucian carp), 916 nucleotides. RefSeq lists it as uncharacterized. Lineage: Eukaryota; Metazoa; Chordata; Actinopteri; Cypriniformes; Cyprinidae. The record is from RefSeq and is a predicted model, not a curated record. The transcript has 4 exons.
UUGCCCCCUUUUGUACUUUGUAGAUGCCACCCAAGAAGAAGAAAGGGGUCAUAAGAAGCUUUUUCAUAAAGCAGAGUCAGAGUAUUGAAAACACCCAAACUCGUCUCUGAAGAGGACAAAGACACAAUCCCUGUCUACUCUCCAGUGAGGACUGAAUGCAGAAAUCAUACUGUUUGACAUCUACUAUGUCAGAGAUAAGAUAAAAGGUCCUGAAGCCUCUCUGAGAUCUUCUUCUGUCUCUCUGUACAGUAAUCAGAGCACAGAGACAUCUUUAGAUUCACAGCUAAGAGACAAAAAUCUGUCCAUCCUAAAGACUGAAGAGACGUUUCUUUGAGGACCUGUCAAUUACAUAAAGUACUGUAAGGAUGCUAUAAAGAUAAACACGUCACACAUGGCAUCUUGCCAUUAUUCACAAAUAAUCAUUUCUGAAUAUGCAGUUAUAUUGCGUGCUGUUUGGAAUUAAUUUUAUUCGUGAUGGAGUGCUCUUGGAGCGAGUGAAAACCAUGACGCUCCUACUUUUAAAGGAUCGGCUCCUCGCUCCAGGCAGAACACACUCUUUAAGGAAGGAGUCCUCCUCUGUUAUUAGCAUUGUGCUGCUCCGGUAGGACAUCGAAAAUGUGAAGGACAAAAAGUAUUUAAUAGGUUGUAGUUUUGAAACAUUUUCUAGAAUGUUUUUGCUUUUUGUGUUUUUAUUUUUUUUGUUUGACUGUUUUCUUGGCGAUGCACACCAAGGUAAGAACACUGUUAUUACUUUCAGUAGACGAUCCACCGGUGUAACGAUAGAUAGAUAGAUAGAUGCAAAUGAUUAAGUUUUCAUCUUAUGAGCUAUUUUUUCAGGCUUCUAUGCUUUGGUUCAGUUUCACUUUAAUGUAAUAGAAAAGGACCUAUACAUUGCCAUUAAAGUGAAAUAACUAUC